This 853-nucleotide unclassified non-coding RNA is filed under the name Hevea brasiliensis (rubber tree). The record is from RNAcentral. Lineage: Eukaryota; Viridiplantae; Streptophyta; Magnoliopsida; Malpighiales; Euphorbiaceae.
UACUUCUUUCUAUAGUAUGUAACAGUUUUUGCAUCAUUUUCAAUGCCAAUUUUGGUCUUUCAAGACUCUGCACUAUAACUAUUCUGGAACCACACCUUGGUUAAGUUGGAGUGCUUAAUAGAAAGAGGGGGAGACAGUAGAAGUGAACUCCCCAGUACAUGUCCUAGUAUCAGCUUUGUAGAAUGAUUUCCAGGCUUGUUUCCUUGCCAUACUGAGAUUUUGAACAGGACGCAUUUGGAUUGUUGCAUGUUGCAGGAAAGAAUAACAUAACUUAGAGGAUUUUUUUUUAACUUUGAAAAUUGAGUUGCCAUUUCUGGCUGGACUGUUGCUUUUAAUUAGUAACCGUAAUUGUUUAAUACUUUCAAGUUGAAAUCUGAUUUGCCAAUGUCUAUAAUCCACUAUAUCUGUGUCUCCUAUGUUAAUUGAAGUCUCAACUAUUGUUAUGCCCUUAGUUAAUUCCUUCCCUUGAAGGCAAUUUUUUGUUAUUUUGUCAUGAAAGGGGAAAACAUCACAACUUUGAUGAUUGUGCUUAUCUAUCUGCAAAUGUACUUCUAGGGAAUUUGAAGCUUCCAAUCUGGACUCACAAAUAUUUUUUUAUUUAUUCUAUUCUUAAAAAAUGGUGGCUGGUUGCUCCCAACAUCAAAGUCCUUGGUUUAGUAUUAUCUUAUAUGUUUUACCAGCAAUUUCAUGCGACCUUUGAGCUCCUCAAAAAAAUAUUCUGGUUUUUGCUGAAGGUUAAAAGAGGUAAAAGUCUUUUUAUCCAGUAUUUGAUUGUUAAAACUAACGAUACAAUCAUAAAAAUUUGUGUUCUAUUCCUUUUGCUCAUUAAAAUGGACCACUUUCUUUUGAGCCG